GUAGUACUCCCUCCGUCUCAAAAUUUUUGUCUUCGAUUUGUCUACAUACUGAUGUAUCUAUUCACAUUUUAGUGUUAGAUACAUCCUUAUCUAUAUAAAUUCAAGACAAGAAUUUUGGGACGGAGGGAGUAGCAU
Non-coding RNA from Triticum aestivum (bread wheat), 135 nucleotides. NCBI's taxonomy places the organism in Eukaryota, Viridiplantae, Streptophyta, Magnoliopsida, Poales, Poaceae. The record is from Rfam.